This 460-nucleotide ribosomal RNA is filed under the name uncultured bacterium. RNAcentral describes it as "partial 16S ribosomal RNA". It matches the Rfam family "Bacterial small subunit ribosomal RNA", at positions 338 to 795 of the family's 1533-position model. The record is from RNAcentral.
CCUACGGGCGGCAGCAAUGAGGAAUAUUGGUCAAUGGACGCAAGUCUGAACCAGCCAUGCCGCGUGCAGGAUGACGGCUCUAUGAGUUGUAAACUGCUUUUGUACGAGGGUAAACCCCGAUACGUGUAUCGGGUUGAAAGUAUCGUACGAAUAAGGAUCGGCUAACUCCGUGCCAGCAGCCGCGGUAAUACGGAGGAUCCGAGCGUUAUCCGGAUUUAUUGGGUUUAAAGGGUGCGUAGGCGGUUUGAUAAGUUAGAGGUGAAAUGUCGGGGCUCAACCCCGAAACUGCCUCUAAUACUGUUGGACUAGAGAAUAGUGGCGGUAGGCGGAAUGUAUGGUGUAGCGGUGAAAGGCUUAGAGAUCAUACAGAACACCGAUUGCGAAGGCAGCUUACCAAACUAUAUCUGACGUUGAGGCACGAAAGCGUGGGUAGCAAACAGGAUUAGAUACCCGAGUAGUC